UGUUUGGUUGUCAGAGAAAACAGCCUUCUGUCCUUUCUUUUCACAGAAGACCCAUCUUUGGGAAUGAACCAUGUAGAAAAGAAAGAAUAAUAAAGGUGAAUCAAUCUCCAGGAGCUGACACACUGACUCAAGUGGAGCCUGCAGAUACCUUUUGAGAUUAGACAAAAUCUUGAAGCUUGAAAUGAUCAUCCCUGGAGUCAUCUGAUAGAAGAAUUUUUCCUCUAUCUCUAAAAAGGCUGAAAAAAUGUAGGCAUGUCUAUGGAGGAGCUCACUCUUUGCAGAUACAUUGCUUAUCAGAUCUUUCUCCAAUCCCUCUCAAAGCCUAGCUCCUAGUUUUCUCCCCCUUCUAAUUGCCACCCCAUCCACACCUUUGUCUCCUUCCUUCUUCCAGGGGCAUACUUUUCCUUCCUAAAUUUUGGAAUGCUUCCUUGGGGACAGAUGAUAGAUAGGACAGAGCUGGAUAUGAGGAAGCCUGGGGGACUGGGGACUUCAUAUAUAUAUAAGGUCUAGGUAUUCUUCAAGACAUCCCAAACCAGUGCUCUUCAUUCUCUGCCUGGUCUACCUACCACUGAGCACCAUGCUGAAGGAGGCAAUCCUUGCCUUCACUCUGUUCUCUCUGGUGAUGUCUGCCCCAACAUCAAAACCAGAACCUGUAGAAACUACAGCUGUGGGUAAGACAGAACCCACUGCUGAUGGACCUCAGAAGGGACCCCAAGAACCAGCCAAGACUACAACCAAUCCAGAGACUCCAAAGACAUCUGCUUCUAAGACUAACCAAGUAACUUCAGCACCCCCCCCAAACUACAACCAAGCAGGAGGUUCCAAAGAAUGAGCCAAAGACUGUUGCUCCUGAGAAGAAGCAAGUAACUAAGGCACCAGCUGAAACUACACAAGAUGAGCAGGAUCUGAUGAAGUGGAUACAAAAAAGCAAGUUGUCUUGUUUUCUUAGACUUGGGUCUUUUCCAUUUAUGGUAGCAUACAAUGCCACUGAUAUGUCUCACCUAGAUCUACGUACUCUGUGACCUUUGUUUCUUGCUAGAUGUCUGGGUUUACCCCCUUACCCUAAUCAUAUGAGGAGAACCCAAGAAACUCCUUUGUAUAAACAAUCCCUCCAUCUGCUACUGACAUGACGAAAUUCCCCGGCUCUCUCUUCAUGCCCUUCUAGAUAGUUUUUCCCUCCUAGAAUAGCAGCCCUUGUUCUUUGGUAUGGCACCCUGUCUCACCAGGAGGUCAGAAGUGGCAAUGACAGGAAUGACUGUGUAUUCCUAUUUUUUCCCCCAGUGAUAUCGGAUGAAAAAGAAAUAGAACAUAUUGUGAAUGACUGUGAUGGUAAGUUAACUUGACUCUUUCCUUAUUCAAAUUUUUUUUACUAAGAUUUUCUGACUUGU
RNAcentral lists this long non-coding RNA (1388 nucleotides) under Monodelphis domestica (gray short-tailed opossum). Its description in RNAcentral is "lncRNA (ENSMODG00000031515.2)". The record is from RNAcentral. Lineage: Eukaryota; Metazoa; Chordata; Mammalia; Didelphimorphia; Didelphidae.